RNAcentral lists this ribosomal RNA (433 nucleotides) under uncultured bacterium. Its description in RNAcentral is "partial 16S ribosomal RNA". It matches the Rfam family "Bacterial small subunit ribosomal RNA", at positions 29 to 507 of the family's 1533-position model. The record is from RNAcentral.
AACGAACGCUGGCGGCAUGCCUAACACAUGCAAGUCGAACGAGACCUUCGGGUCUAGUGGCGCACGGGUGCGUAACGCGUGGGAACCUGCCCUUAGGUUCGGAAUAACUCCCCGAAAGGGGUGCUAAUACCGGAUAAUGUCUUCGGACCAAAGAUUUAUCGCCUUUGGAUGGGCCCGCGUUGGAUUAGCUAGUUGGUAGGGUAAAAGCCUACCAAGGCGACGAUCCAUAGCUGGUCUGAGAGGAUGAUCAGCCACACUGGGACUGAGACACGGCCCAGACUCCUACGGGAGGCAGCAGUGGGGAAUAUUGGACAAUGGGCGAAAGCCUGAUCCAGCACUGCCGCGUGAGUGAUGAAGGCCUUAGGGUUGUAAAGCUCUUUUAACCGGGAUGAUAAUGACAGUACCGGGAGAAUAAGCUCCGGCUAACUCCGUG